RNAcentral lists this transfer RNA (75 nucleotides) under Sinisalibacter lacisalsi. Its description in RNAcentral is "tRNA-Leu". The record is from RNAcentral. Lineage: Bacteria; Pseudomonadati; Pseudomonadota; Alphaproteobacteria; Rhodobacterales; Roseobacteraceae.
CGAGGCGUAGAGCGCGGCGUCGGCUCGCUCGAUCAGGUCGUGCGGCGAGGGCAGGUCGCCGCUCUCUGCCCCGCC